GUGUAGUAUAAAAGGAGAGACGUAUAGCAGUUUCCUAGACAAGAAUGGAAACACAUAUAAAUUGGUAAAGCACUGUCGUCAUUUUAGAACACUUUAUCACAUUUUUCUU
This 109-nucleotide non-coding RNA is filed under the name Habropoda laboriosa. Lineage: Eukaryota; Metazoa; Arthropoda; Insecta; Hymenoptera; Apidae. The record is from RNAcentral.